UACGUAGGGAGCAAGCGUUGUCCGGAAUCAUUGGGCGUAAAGGGCGCGUAGGCGGCUCGGCACGUCCGUUGUGAAAUCGCCCGGCUCAACUGGGCGGGGUCGGCGGAUACGGCCGAGCUGGAGCAAGCUAGGGGGUAAUGGAAUUCCCGGUGUAGUGGUGGAAUGCGUAGAUAUCGGGAGGAACACCAGUGGCGAAGGCGGCUCACUGGACCGGUACUGACGCUGAGGCGCGAAAGCGUGGGGAGCAAACGGG
Molecule: ribosomal RNA, 253 nt
Filed under: uncultured bacterium
Lineage: Bacteria
Description: partial 16S ribosomal RNA
Rfam family: Bacterial small subunit ribosomal RNA
Source: RNAcentral